This 503-nucleotide ribosomal RNA is filed under the name uncultured bacterium. Its description in RNAcentral is "partial 16S ribosomal RNA". It matches the Rfam family "Bacterial small subunit ribosomal RNA", at positions 30 to 523 of the family's 1533-position model. The record is from RNAcentral.
AUUGAACGCUGGCGGCAGGCUUAACACAUGCAAGUCGAGCGGGGUGAUGGUGCUUGCACUAUCACUUAGCGGCGGACGGGUGAGUAAUGCUUAGGAAUCUGCCUAUUAGUGGGGGACAACAUCUCGAAAGGGAUGCUAAUACCGCAUACGUCCUACGGGAGAAAGCAGGGGAUCACUUGUGACCUUGCGCUAAUAGAUGAGCCUAAGUCGGAUUAGCUAGUUGGUGGGGUAAAGGCCUACCAAGGCGACGAUCUGUAGCGGGUAUGAGAGGAUGUACCGCCACACUGGGAAUGAGAACCGGCCCAGACUCCUACGGGAGGCAGGAGUGGGGAAUAUUGGACAAUGGGGGGAACCCUGAUCCAGCCAUGCCGCGUGUGUGAAGAAGGCCUUAUGGUUGUAAAGCACUUUAAGCGAGGAGGAGGCUCUUUUGGUUAAUACCCAAGAUGAGUGGACGUUACUCGCAGAAUAAGCACCGGCUAACUCUGUGCCAACCGCCGCCGUAA